Molecule: ribosomal RNA, 253 nt
Filed under: uncultured bacterium
Lineage: Bacteria
Description: partial 16S ribosomal RNA
Rfam family: Bacterial small subunit ribosomal RNA
Source: RNAcentral
UCCAGAGGGUGCGAGCGUUGUUCGGAAUUAUUGGGCGUAAAGGGCGCGUAGGCGGCGCGGUAAGUCACCUGUGAAAUCUCCUGGCUCAACUGGGAGCUUGCAGGCGAAACUGCCGUGCUGGAGUGUGGGAGAGGUGCGUGGAAUUCCUGGUGUAGCGGUGAAAUGCGUAGAUAUCAGGAGGAACACCUGUGGCGAAAGCGGCGCACUGGACCACAACUGACGCUGAGGCGCGAAAGCUAGGGGAGCAAACAGG